RNAcentral lists this ribosomal RNA (871 nucleotides) under uncultured bacterium. RNAcentral describes it as "bacterial SSU rRNA". It matches the Rfam family "Bacterial small subunit ribosomal RNA", at positions 51 to 935 of the family's 1533-position model. The record is from RNAcentral.
ACACAUGCAAGUCGAACGAGAGAUGAGGAGCUUGCUCUUCAAAUCGAGUGGCGAACGGGUGAGUAACGCGUGAGGAACCUGCCUCAAAGAGGGGGACAACAGUUGGAAACGACUGCUAAUACCGCAUAAGCCCACGGCUCGGCAUCGAGCAGAGGGAAAAGGAGCAAUCCGCUUUGAGAUGGCCUCGCGUCCGAUUAGCUAGUUGGUGAGGUAACGGCCCACCAAGGCGACGAUCGGUAGCCGGACUGAGAGGUUGAACGGCCACAUUGGGACUGAGACACGGCCCAGACUCCUACGGGAGGCAGCAGUGGGGAAUAUUGCACAAUGGGGGAAACCCUGAUGCAGCGACGCCGCGUGGAGGAAGAAGGUCUUCGGAUUGUAAACUCCUGUUGUUGAGGAAGAUAAUGACGGUACUCAACAAGGAAGUGACGGCUAACUACGUGCCAGCAGCCGCGGUAAAACGUAGGUCACAAGCGUUGUCCGGAAUUACUGGGUGUAAAGGGAGCGCAGGCGGGAGAACAAGUUGGAAGUGAAAUCCAUGGGCUCAACCCAUGAACUGCUUUCAAAACUGUUUUUCUUGAGUAGUGCAGAGGUAGGCGGAAUUCCCGGUGUAGCGGUGGAAUGCGUAGAUAUCGGGAGGAACACCAGUGGCGAAGGCGGCCUACUGGGCACCAACUGACGCUGAGGCUCGAAAGUGUGGGUAGCAAACAGGAUUAGAUACCCUGGUAGUCCACACCGUAAACGAUGAUUACUAGGUGUUGGAGGAUUGACCCCUUCAGUGCCGCAGUUAACACAAUAAGUAAUCCACCUGGGGAGUACGACCGCAAGGUUGAAACUCAAAGGAAUUGACGGGGGCCCGCACAAGCAGUGG